ACAUCUCUAGUCACCUCAGAUAAACAACUGUCCCAUAUUUUUUCCAGGACUGUCCCAGUUUUAACACUGCUCACGGGAUCCAGUGUUCCUGACCUCAUCGUGAGCAUGAGCAACCAGAUGUGGCUACAUCUGCAGUCGGAUGAUAGCAUUGGCUCACCUGGGUUUAAAGCUGUUUACCAAG
This 181-nucleotide small RNA is filed under the name Pongo abelii (Sumatran orangutan). RNAcentral describes it as "processed transcript". The record is from RNAcentral. Lineage: Eukaryota; Metazoa; Chordata; Mammalia; Primates; Hominidae.